GCAGUCGAACGGUAGCACAGGAGAGCUUGCUCUUUGGGUGACGAGUGGCGGACGGGUGAGUAAUGUCUGGGAAACUGCCCGAUGGAGGGGGAUAACUACUGGAAACGGUAGCUAAUACCGCAUAACGUCUACGGACCAAAGUGGGGGACCUUCGGGCCUCACACCAUCGGAUGUGCCCAGAUGGGAUUAGCUUGUUGGUGAGGUAAUGGCUCACCAAGGCGACGAUCCCUAGCUGGUCUGAGAGGAUGACCAGCCACACUGGAACUGAGACACGGUCCAGACUCCUACGGGAGGCAGCAGUGGGGAAUAUUGCACAAUGGGCGCAAGCCUGAUGCAGCCAUGCCGCGUGUAUGAAGAAGGCCUUCGGGUUGUAAAGUACUUUCAGCGGGGAGGAAGGGAGUGAGGUUAAUAACCUCGCUCAUUGACGUUACCCGCAGAAGAAGCACCGGCUAACUCCGUGCCAGCAGCCGCGGUAAUACGGAGGGUGCAAGCGUUAAUCGGAAUUACUGGGCGUAAAGCGCACGCAGGCGGUCU
RNAcentral lists this ribosomal RNA (534 nucleotides) under bacterium 73-L049658-122-015-A10. RNAcentral describes it as "bacterial SSU rRNA". It matches the Rfam family "Bacterial small subunit ribosomal RNA", at positions 57 to 581 of the family's 1533-position model. The record is from RNAcentral.